RNAcentral lists this ribosomal RNA (301 nucleotides) under uncultured bacterium. RNAcentral describes it as "partial 16S ribosomal RNA". It matches the Rfam family "Bacterial small subunit ribosomal RNA", at positions 509 to 809 of the family's 1533-position model. The record is from RNAcentral.
CAGUAGCCACGGUAACACGAAGGGUGCAAGCGUUAAUCGGAAUUACUUGGCGUAAAGCGCGCGUAGGUGGUUUGGUAAGAUGGAUGUGAAAUCCCCGGGCUCAACCUGGGAACUGCAUCCAUAACUGCCUGACUAGAGUACGGUAGAGGGUGGUGGAAUUUCCUGUGUAGCGGUGAAAUGCGUAGAUAUAGGAAGGAACACCAGUGGCGAAGGCGACCACCUGGACUGAUACUGACACUGAGGUGCGAAAGCGUGGGGAGCAAAAAGGAUUAGAUACCCGUGUAGUCCCUGUCUCUUAUAU